AAUGUACCUGUAAGUAGAAAAAUUAGAGCGCAGAAGGGUUGCGAAUAUAACUCAUUGCAAACAAGUAAACAACCUGUAUUUAACAACCUAUGGGCGUUUCAAACCCGAAUUAGAGUUUAGAUUUCACAGGAAACAGAAAAUUACUAAUUAUGGGAGCAACCAACUCUGGAUGAGAUAGAUGGACGUGGUGUCUACCUUCGACUUCUACGUAACGAAAAUCUUCGCUGGCAUCGCGGUAGAUAUCGUAAAACUCCCGAUAGAGUUCUUUUGGUUCAAACGUUGAAGUGUUUUUAG
Long non-coding RNA from Daphnia pulicaria, 294 nucleotides. RefSeq lists it as uncharacterized. Lineage: Eukaryota; Metazoa; Arthropoda; Branchiopoda; Diplostraca; Daphniidae. The record is from RefSeq and is a predicted model, not a curated record. The transcript has 2 exons.